Non-coding RNA from Musa acuminata subsp. malaccensis (wild Malaysian banana), 2104 nucleotides. The record is from Rfam. Lineage: Eukaryota; Viridiplantae; Streptophyta; Magnoliopsida; Zingiberales; Musaceae.
GUUCAAGCUGUCAAAAGAACUCAUGAAAUCACUUUUAAAUUUGAAGGGAAACUGGGCAAUUAUGUUUGUCUUACAUCAAGGCACCAAAUCAAAUGGAGUUGAAUACAUGACUUAAAAGAAUUAGCUAUAUUGUGAAUAAAUAUAAGCAUUCAAUUUCACCUUAACUAUAAAGGCGAAAUCCCCAUACCUUAAUAUGUUAAUAUAUUCCUAUUCACUUAGAGACCUAUGAUGCUAGACCAUUUAUUAUCUUUUAUUUGAAUAAAUUUAAUUAGUUUAAGAGGUAGGUCCCAACUGACUGAUGUUGAAGAAUUAGCAGAUUUUAGGGGUGAAAUGUCACUCGUACCUAGAGCUAGCUGGCAUUGAGGUGUUACAGUUGAGUAGACAUCCUGGGGUAAAGCACUGUGUUAACGCGAGAUGCAAGAGUGACACCGAAUCGAGACAAACUCUAAACAUCAAAUAUGACCCAAAAAUAAGAGGGAUUAAGUUCAAUCAAUAAGGCAAAGGGGAUAAACUUUAUUGUCCAGAGGGAAACAACCCAGAUCACCAAUUAAGACCCCAAAAUGACAGCUCAAUGAAAAAGGAGGUGGGGGUGCAAACACAACUAGGAGGUUUGCCCAGAAAGAGUGCAAUAACUCAUUUAUCUAGUGCUCUUAUGUUGAAGAUGGAUAGGGCUAAGCGAUUUGCCAAAUAUAUGAGAUGUGAAAAUGCAUUGGUACUCCACCUUAGAGCGAAGCACCCACGUGCAGAUUUGGAUGAAUCAAAAGUGAGAAUGUCGACUUGAGUAACAUAAACAUUGGUCAUAAUCCAAUGCCCUGAAAACCUAAGGGUUCCUCCACAAGGUUCGUCCAUGAAGGAUGAGUCAGGGCAUAAGAUCAGGCCGAAAGGCAUACUCAAUGGUGAAUAGGUGAAUAUUCCUAUACUACGCCUUGUUGGUUCGGAGGGAAGGAGAAGACUAGGUUAAUUGAAAGAUGAUUAUUGGUUCAAGGAUGCAAGGUGAUCUUGCUUUUCCAAGAUAAAAAAGGUAGAGGAAAUGCCUCGAGCCAAUGUUCGAGUAUAACCCAUGCCAUACUCCCAUGAAAAGCUCAAAUGACCUUUGAUAAAAGGGUAUUGAGACCUAAAACCGACGUAGGUGGGUAGGUAGACAAUUCCUAGGGGGCAUGAGACAACUCUUCUAAGGAACUCGACAAAAUAGCCCCUUAACCUCGGGAGAAGGGGUGCCUCCUUAUAGAGGGGGUUGUAAUGACUAGGCCCAGGUGAUUGUUUACCAAAAAGACAGGUCGUUGCAAAGUCAGACCAUAUAUGGGGGCUGAUGUUGUCCUAGUGCCAUGGAAGAUCAAGGGAGUGCCUUAGUGAAGGGCGACUGCAACUAUAAUAGUCCUAAGGUAUCGAAAUUCCUUAUCAAGUUAUGAUCCACACAAAAGGCAUAACAAUCUGGACAUUGUCUCUAAGAGAGGUUCAAUGACAUAAUGUCUUUGAAGAUGUGGAGUACCCGCACCUCGACAGAAAGACCCUAUGAAGCUUUGCUAUACCCUAGGAUUGGCUUUGGACCUUUCUCAUCUAGCUUAGGUGGAAGGCGAAGAAGUUCUCUUUCUGAGAGGCCUAAGCCAUUAGUGAGAUACCACUUUGGAAGGGCUAGAAUUCUAACCUUAUACUAAGACCUAUGGGCGUAGGCCUCCUAUAAGUUAAUGGAGGAGUGCAAAAGCUUCCUCGAGCAGCAUGGAGAUUGACCCUUGAGUGCAAAGGCAAAGGAGGUCUUGAAUGCAAGACCCACCCACUGAGCCUAGACGAAAGUCAGCCUUAGUGAUUUGACGAUGCCGAGUCAAAGGACAACAGAUAAAAGUUGCCCUAGGGCCAUCAAGAGGACCAAGAAGGAUGCACCUCUAGUGUACUGUUUAUCUUGCCCACAAUAAAUUUGGAUAAAUUUGAAAGCAUCUAAGUAGCAUGCUCACCCUAAGAUGAGUGCUCUCUUAUUUCGACCCAAAAUCCUCAGUAGCACAAUCGAGACAAUGACGGUUCUCUGUCCUUGUGGGAUAGAUAAGUGUCAAGUGAAAGUGCAGUGAUGUAUGCAGUUGAGGCAUCCCGAUAGAUUGAGAGACUUGAACCU